CCUACGGGAGGCUGCAGUGGGGAAUAUUGCACAAUGGGCGCAAGCCUGAUGCAGCCAUGCCGCGUGUGUGAAGAAGGCCUUCGGGUUGUAAAGCACUUUCAGCGGGGAGGAAGGCGGUGAGGUUAAUAACCUCAUCGAUUGACGUUACCCGCAGGAGAAGCACCGGCUAACUCCGUGCCAGCAGCCGCGGUAAUACGGAGGGUGCAAGCGUUAAUCGGAAUUACUGGGCGUAAAGGGCACGCAGGCGGUCUGUCAAGUCGGAUGUGAAAUCCCCGGGCUCAACCUGGGAACUGCAUUCGAAACUGGCAGGCUAGAGUCUUGUAGAGGGGGGUAGAAUUCCAGGUGUAGCGGUGAAAUGCGUAGAGAUCUGGAGGAAUACCGGUGGCGAAGGCGGCCCCCUGGACAAAGACUGACGCUCAGGUGCGAAAGCGUGGGGAGCAAACAGGAUUAGAUACCCGAGUAGUC
This 465-nucleotide ribosomal RNA is filed under the name uncultured Klebsiella sp. RNAcentral describes it as "bacterial SSU rRNA". It matches the Rfam family "Bacterial small subunit ribosomal RNA", at positions 338 to 795 of the family's 1533-position model. Lineage: Bacteria; Pseudomonadati; Pseudomonadota; Gammaproteobacteria; Enterobacterales; Enterobacteriaceae. The record is from RNAcentral.